UUAGGUGAAAACACUACAUAC
Molecule: non-coding RNA, 21 nt
Filed under: Caenorhabditis elegans
Lineage: Eukaryota; Metazoa; Nematoda; Chromadorea; Rhabditida; Rhabditidae
Source: RNAcentral